AGGAUGAUAGUUUAAUAGGUAAAGCGCUUGGCUCCAAACUGAGAAAGUGGAAGUUCAAUUCUUCCUCGUCCUG
RNAcentral lists this transfer RNA (73 nucleotides) under Mortierella sp. NVP85. It matches the Rfam family "tRNA". From Rfam's summary of the family: Transfer RNA (tRNA) molecules are approximately 80 nucleotides in length. Their secondary structure includes four short double-helical elements and three loops (D, anti-codon, and T loops). Lineage: Eukaryota; Fungi; Mortierellomycota; Mortierellomycetes; Mortierellales; Mortierellaceae. The record is from Rfam by way of RNAcentral.